UGUGACUGGUCUAGGCCACAUUGAGCC
Molecule: non-coding RNA, 27 nt
Filed under: Homo sapiens (human)
Lineage: Eukaryota; Metazoa; Chordata; Mammalia; Primates; Hominidae
Source: RNAcentral